RNAcentral lists this unclassified non-coding RNA (378 nucleotides) under plant metagenome. RNAcentral's name for it is "partial contains 5.8S ribosomal RNA, internal transcribed spacer 2, and large subunit ribosomal RNA". The stretch from base 1 to 105 matches the Rfam family "5.8S ribosomal RNA", at positions 50 to 154 of the family's 154-position model. The record is from RNAcentral.
GAAAUGCGAUAAGUAAUGUGAAUUGCAGAAUUCAGUGAAUCAUCGAAUCUUUGAACGCACCUUGCGCUCCUUGGUAUUCCUUGGAGCAUGCCUGUUUGAGUAUCAUGAAAUCUUCAAAGUAAAUCUUUUGUUAACUCAAUUGGUUUCUACUUUGGUAUUGGAGGUCUUUGCAGCUUCACACCUGCUCCUCUUUGUUCAUUAGCUGGAUCUCAGUGUUAUGCUUGGUUCCACUCGGCGUGAUAAGUUAUCUAUCGCUGAGGACACUGUAAAAGGUGGCCAAGGUAAAUGCAGAUGAACCGCUUCUCAUAGUCCAUUGACUUGGACAAUACUUUUAUCAUCUGAUCUCAAAUCAGGUAGGACUACCCGCUGAACUUAAGC